This is a long non-coding RNA of Hyaena hyaena (striped hyena), 236 nucleotides long. RefSeq lists it as uncharacterized. NCBI's taxonomy places the organism in Eukaryota, Metazoa, Chordata, Mammalia, Carnivora, Hyaenidae. The record is from RefSeq and is a predicted model, not a curated record. The transcript has 3 exons.
AUUGUCUGCAUGACCUGGGGCCUCAGUUUCUCAGCAGACCUGAGGACGCCGGGGCGGGGCGUGAGCUUGGGGCCCAGCUGGGGACACAGACACCACCAGCCAGCGCGGGAGUCAGACAGACAAAGGCUGUGAUGAUCCCGCGGGGCUGCACCGGACAAUGACGCAGGAAGGCUCCAGGGACCAGAUUCCAAAAGCACAAGUGGAGUAAGUGAGAGCAGGCACCAGGUGACCUUCGC